GACAGAGGGUGCAAACGUUGUUCGGAAUUACUGGUCGUAAAGCGAGUGUAGGCGGUUUGGAUAGUCGGAUGUGAAAGCCCCGGGCUCAACCCGGGAAGUGCAUUCGAUACUCCCAAGCUAGAGUAUCGGAGAGGUUGGUGGAAUUCUCGGUGUAGAGGUGAAAUUCGUAGAUAUCGAGAGGAACACCGGUGGCGAAGGCGGCCAACUGGACGAAUACUGACGCUGAGACUCGAAAGCGUGGGGAGCAAACAGG
RNAcentral lists this ribosomal RNA (253 nucleotides) under uncultured bacterium. RNAcentral describes it as "partial 16S ribosomal RNA". It matches the Rfam family "Bacterial small subunit ribosomal RNA", at positions 524 to 776 of the family's 1533-position model. The record is from RNAcentral.